Molecule: long non-coding RNA, 569 nt
Organism: Prosopis cineraria
Lineage: Eukaryota; Viridiplantae; Streptophyta; Magnoliopsida; Fabales; Fabaceae
Exons: 3
Source: RefSeq, a predicted model, not a curated record
GAGAAAGAGAAUUCUCUAAGCUUCCACCAACCUUCACUCUCCAUUCUUCUUCCUUCAUCGUUCAUCUCCAUCGGGUCCUUUGUUUCUUUGGCUCUUCCUUUCUUUUUCUUCUCCACUUGAUGUUCUGUUACAGCACCGAAAAAAAAUGAAAACAAAAAAAAAACCACACACUGUUGCUGAAAACUUGAGGGAACCGUGAUCUCCUCCUCCUUUCUUUCUGUGCGUGAAUGUUGAGUAGUGGAUUUGUCAUUAUUGAAGGGGUUCCAGAAGAGGAGAAGCUAAAUUGAAGUUGAGCAAAGAGAAUUUUUAGAAUUUGGCAACAUACCAGAUAGUAGAAGUGAACCUGCUCUUCAUUUGAUCUCGUGGGACUCCUUGAAACAAGAAGUAUUUGUUGCUCCGUCCAAAUUGUGGAUUAAUGUAAAUAUUUAAGUAUCUUAGUUUUGUUCUAGAUUCGCUCCACGAAUCUUAUAGGUAGGAUCCUUGAUUGAAUUAUUCUGGGAUUGUACAUAUAUAUUGUAUUGGAGUAGAAUUUCAAAUGUUGUAUGGGUAUUCUUUUGGUAGGUUGUAAA